Molecule: long non-coding RNA, 3017 nt
Organism: Cyprinus carpio carpio
Lineage: Eukaryota; Metazoa; Chordata; Actinopteri; Cypriniformes; Cyprinidae
Source: Ensembl
GUCAGCAUCUUCCUGUCAUUUAUGCAAGGGCAAUGCAUAGCUACAGGUCCAAAAAUAUCCCCAGCCCAUUCCUUUAUGGGAGCAAAAGAGCCGAACGGCCUCGGCACGCUGGUGGAUUCUGUAAUUAGCACACGCCGCUCCGGAGACAAAAGGAAGGAGAACAAUCCUACAGCCGGAGCACAUUCCAAGAAAAGCCCAGUGUGUAGGAAUCAUGGGUACCUACGACUCCUUCACACCAGACUGCGACACGAGGCCGUGCUUCUCAAUGCAAUCAUUCUUUGAUUCCUGGCGAAUCUGUCGGCGUGUGUGCAGGAAACGGGGCCAAAGCGGCUUCCUGAGCGGCUCAGGAGGAAACACGGAAAUAAGAAAGGGGUGUGUGUUUAAAAAUAACUCGGGUAUAAAAGGUCCAGGCAGGAUCCCACUCACUCUCAGACUCGCAGGAUGCUUCUCCGGCGGUGCACACUAGAAAGUAUGCUUCAGGCACGCAGCCCUAUGAAGAGUCACACUACUAUGAGGACUUUUGCAUGAGCACCACUGAAACAAACGGCAAAAAAAUACAUUUUCAUUGCACAAAAUAAAAUAGAACAUAAAAAACUUUAGAAUUUUUUUUUAUUUCACCACAAAUUAUUUUAUCUCACCACUCUAAAACUAAAAAUGUAUAAAAACUAUAUAGAAAUAAAAAACUAAAAUUAAAGUGAAAACAGAUCAUUUAAAAAUAAAAUCUAAAUCAUUUAGUUUAACUUCAAGUACUAAACUAAAUUAAAUAAAUAAGUUUAACAAAAACUAUACUGACAUAUUUUUAAAAAACAAUAAAAAAUACAAAAACACAACAAAAUUAGUACAACUUUAACUAAAAUUACAAUGAACACAAAAAAUAUAAAAAUUAAAUCUAAACCGUUUAGUUUAACAUGAAAUACUAAACUAACUUUAAUAAAUAAAAUGAUAUAGACAUGUUUAAAAAUAAUUAAAUUACGAAAACAAAAAAUGUCAUAUUUAACUAAAAUUAAAGUAAAAACAGAAAAUAUAAAAAUAUUAGUUUAACCUGAAGUUAUGAGAUAAUUAAAACUAAUAAAUUAAUACUAUAUGGACAUACUAAAAUAAACAAAUAUAUAAAAAUGACAAACCUUUUUACUUGAAUUAUGGUAAAAAUAAUAAUAAUAAAAAAGGAAAAUAUGAAAAUAAAAUCAGAUUCAAACUAUUAGCAAAACAAAAAUAUAAUACUAGAUUAACACUGCAUCACACACAUUUGAAUAAAAGACUAAAUGGAUCAAAAUAUAUAAACUAUUUACACUACUAUGUGCAAUGAUGGUGUCUGAUUAAACUACUAUGCUGGAAAGAAAACCAGAACAUGGUGUAUGUUCCACAAAACAUGGUACUUUCAUGGUACAUGUCUAAAUAAAUGUAGUAAUACCAUGCAAGACAGCUUUCUAGAUGCACCAGUCUAUUUUAAAGGCCUAAAAUAAAGAAAAGGGAAACAAAACACUUCUGGUUAAGACUGUCUACAGUUUAGAUACAUCAUUUAGGCCGUAAAUCAUUAUUACAAAGCCAAGAAUGUAAAAUGGGUGUAAUGCACAAACUUCACACACAAAUCAAGUGAAACGUGACAUGAGACUGACACGAGAUUGACAUGAGAACGAUCCGUACUGUAAGCAACGAUAAAAGAAAGCGCUAUUUGUAAAAUUCCUGCUUGGGUGUUGUUGUGUAAUGUUUAUGUCGCAUGCAUAUCUAUAUGCACAGUAAGUAACGCCAGAUGAACACAGCAUCUGCUAUAACACACAACGUUCACUAUGACAGAUCACAAAUCCAGCACAUUUUCAGGAUGGUCUGAUAUCAGGAUGGUCAUGAUUUGCAACUUUCACAUGUGUUGCCCAAUCAUUUCAAUAUUGUGCAAAAAAAGAAUGAAUUUGAACAGAAUGAGAUGGUUUCCAUUUCAAUACUAAUAUAAGAAGAAUGCCAUAUGGUGACUAACUCAAUGCUUCAAAAUAAAAAAAAAACUAUCACUAUAUAUAUGUAUAUAUGGAAUUGAAUAGAAAUUCCUAAAUUUAAGUAACGCAUCUAAUUGUUUAAGAGCCCAUAUGUCAAAUAAGGUCGUUUUCUGCCAAGAGACAUAAACAUACAGACAUGCACUUACAUGCAUGCUGGGAUUGAAAUAGCAAUUCAUACAACACGACGGCAUGAACGCGCUUGCAUACUGACACAUCAUUUAGCAAUGAUGCAUAUAAUGCGGGCUGGGAGCGUGCUGGAUCUCUGCCAUGACAGUCUGAACACACGUCAAACUCCUGCAUGCACAUGACGUCUGUAAUUGCUUUCAUUGAGUGCAAUGGAAAAAAUGAGCUGAAUGAAUAUGUAACGUUCGGCUGCCUAAACACAGCGACUGUUACCACAAACAUGCGCCGUUAUGUGUCGUCUACAUGCAGGGGAUGACAUAAAGUGACAUGAGAGAACCAGUGCUGGGUUUUAAAUCAACAAGGGCCGUUCACAUCCACGGAGCCCAUUAGAGGCAAUCUUAUGUGACGUUAUGCAAAUUUGUAAUGAUUGCCAGUGAUGCCAGCUCAACGUAAAGCCCAAAACAUACUUUAAACAAACUGAGUGCAAAUGCUUGUUGAAAACCAGGUUCAGUUUUGUGUGUUAAUGUUCUGAAAUACAUCAGAAUGCAAUUUAGCAUGCCACUGUCUAUCAGUUUUCGGUUUCAGGCCAAAAACGGGCAUAUAUAUAUAUAUGUGUGUGUGUGUGUGUGUGUGUGUGUGUGUGUGUGUGUGUGUGUGUGUGUGUGUGUGUGCAAUUAUAAUUUUGAAACUUUGGAAUAACUAAUAUUUUUUCAUUUUUUUUAAAGAUGUAUUUUUUACUGUUUUUUUCCACCAAUGCUGCAUUUAUUUAUAACAAAAACAGUAAAAUUGUUAAAUAUUAAAAAAUAUCAUUAGGCUACAAUUUAAUAGAUUUUAAUUUAAAAAACGAAUAGUUUUUCUAUUUUAAUAUGUUUUAAAAUUUAAUUUAUUCCUUUAUUUAUUCAAAGGCUU